RNAcentral lists this long non-coding RNA (345 nucleotides) under Ananas comosus (pineapple). RNAcentral's name for it is "long non-coding RNA (ACOM_LNC027318)". Lineage: Eukaryota; Viridiplantae; Streptophyta; Magnoliopsida; Poales; Bromeliaceae. The record is from RNAcentral.
AGUUCGUCAAUGACAGCGAUGAACUCGUCGAAAGGGCGAGAGGUAAGAAAAAGAGCAGAGGUGGGAGAAGUAGAGUGAAUGAAGAGAGGAAGGUAUAGUUGCGCUUGGAUAAGAAAAUAAAGUGGUGAAUCAUUCAUCGUCUUAUCAUUCGUCAUCUUUCUGAAGAUGCUCAACGAAUUACUAAUUUCCUAUGCUAUAUUCAUAUGAUACGAAUACCAUUUGAAAACAGUAAAUCGCUCAUCAUCUUCAGAACGGCGAUGAAUAAUUCAUCAUCUUAAUGAGAAUCUUUGAAGAUAGUAAAUUAUUCAUUGAUGUCAUUAAAGAAGAUAAACGAUUCGCUGUCUU